RNAcentral lists this ribosomal RNA (253 nucleotides) under uncultured bacterium. RNAcentral's name for it is "partial 16S ribosomal RNA". It matches the Rfam family "Bacterial small subunit ribosomal RNA", at positions 524 to 776 of the family's 1533-position model. The record is from RNAcentral.
UACGUAGGUGGCAAGCGUUGUCCGGAAUUAUUGGGCGUAAAGCGCGCGCAGGCGGCCUCUUAAGUCUGAUGUGAAAGCCCCCGGCUCAACCGGGGAGGGCCAUUGGAAACUGGGAGGCUUGAGUAUAGGAGAGAAGAGUGGAAUUCCACGUGUAGCGGUGAAAUGCGUAGAGAUGUGGAGGAACACCAGUGGCGAAGGCGACUCUUUGGCCUAUAACUGACGGCUGAGGCGCGAAAGCGUGGGAGCAAACAGG